Molecule: ribosomal RNA, 502 nt
Filed under: Bradyrhizobiaceae bacterium D235
Lineage: Bacteria; Pseudomonadati; Pseudomonadota; Alphaproteobacteria; Hyphomicrobiales; Nitrobacteraceae
Description: bacterial SSU rRNA
Rfam family: Bacterial small subunit ribosomal RNA
Source: RNAcentral
AACGCUGGCGGCAGGCUUAACACAUGCAAGUCGAGCGGGCGUAGCAAUACGUCAGCGGCAGACGGGUGAGUAACGCGUGGGAACGUACCUUUUGGUUCGGAACAACACAGGGAAACUUGUGCUAAUACCGGAUAAGCCCUUACGGGGAAAGAUUUAUCGCCGAAAGAUCGGCCCGCGUCUGAUUAGCUAGUUGGUGAGGUAAUGGCUCACCAAGGCGACGAUCAGUAGCUGGUCUGAGAGGAUGAUCAGCCACAUUGGGACUGAGACACGGCCCAAACUCCUACGGGAGGCAGCAGUGGGGAAUAUUGGACAAUGGGCGCAAGCCUGAUCCAGCCAUGCCGCGUGAGUGAUGAAGGCCCUAGGGUUGUAAAGCUCUUUUGUGCGGGAAGAUAAUGACGGUACCGCAAGAAUAAGCCCCGGCUAACUUCGUGCCAGCAGCCGCGGUAAUACGAAGGGGGCUAGCGUUGCUCGGAAUCACUGGGCGUAAAGGGUGCGUAGGCGG